UACGUAGGGUGCGAGCGUUGUCCGGAAUUAUUGGGCGUAAAGGGCUCGUAGGCGGUUUGUCGCGUCGGGAGUGAAAUCCACUGGCUUAACUGGUGGCUUGCUUUCGAUACGGGCAGACUGGAGGUAUGCAGGGGAGAACGGAAUUCCUGGUGUAGCGGUGAAAUGCGCAGAUAUCAGGAGGAACACCGGUGGCGAAGGCGGUUCUCCUGGGCAUGUCCUGACGCUGAGGAGCGAAGUGUGGGAGGCGAACAGGA
RNAcentral lists this ribosomal RNA (254 nucleotides) under uncultured bacterium. RNAcentral's name for it is "partial 16S ribosomal RNA". It matches the Rfam family "Bacterial small subunit ribosomal RNA", at positions 524 to 777 of the family's 1533-position model. The record is from RNAcentral.